RNAcentral lists this ribosomal RNA (250 nucleotides) under uncultured bacterium. RNAcentral describes it as "partial 16S ribosomal RNA". It matches the Rfam family "Bacterial small subunit ribosomal RNA", at positions 28 to 269 of the family's 1533-position model. The record is from RNAcentral.
GAUGAACGCUAGCGGCAGGCUUAAUACAUGCAAGUCGAGGGGGCAGCGGGGGUAGCAAUACCUGCCGGCGACCGGCAAACGGGUAGCGGAACACGUACAGAACCUUCCUUUAAGCGGGGGAGUAGCCCGGACGAAAUACCGGAUUAAUACCCCACUAGUAAUAUUGACUGGCAUCAGUUGGUAUUUAAAGAUUAUCACUUAAAGAUGGCUGUGCGGCUGAUUAGGUAGUUGGUUGGGGUAACGGCCCACC